AGUCGAAUUGGAACCGAGCCAUUACCAAGUAGGGUUUAGAGGGCCCUUGCUGGCUUGCCAUAGGAAGCCUAUGCGGUAUGGAAAGCAUUCCCGCAUCCAUGACUGGCUUUUACCAGAGCUGCAUGGUUUGUGCCAAACUCUGUACGGGAAUAAUGAUAUGAUUUCCAUACCCGACCCCCAAGCUUCUUCCAAUAGCAAGCCAGGAAGGGCCAACUAAACCCCACAAGAACCCAAUGGUCCAAACCAAUCUCCAAAAACCACCUUUAAUGCCCCCAUAUUGGGUUACAAGCUUGCACUACCGAGCUCGGCAAUGAACACUUAUUGGUUACGACUAUAUGAAGAAAAGAUUUUUUUCUUAGUUGUCCAAUGUGGGACAUAAAGACUGGUUACGCUGAAAAAGAAAAGGAAAGAACAAAAAGUUGGGAGUCGACUUGAAGUCGAUGAGGAUGGGAUGCAAUGGCAAGGCCUUAAAAGCCUUCUCUCGCUGGAGUUUACGGAUCUUCCAAAAUUGGUGUCUCUCCCAUUAGGACUUCAACAUUGUACUACAAAAUCUCGCGAUUUCAAAUUGUGAAAGCUUGAAAGCUAUACCAGAGUGGAUCCACAACUGUACAUCACUUCAAGUGUUCAAAAUUUGGAAAUGUUCUAGUUUGUCAUCAUUGCCCGAAGGAAUGCGUAGCCUAAUGUCUUGCGAAGGCUAGAAAUUCAGGCAUGUCCCAUCUUAUUGCGAAGAUGCGAGAGAGAAAUUGGUGAGGAUUGGCCCAAGAUUGCUCACAUCCCAGAGCUAUACGGGGAUCUCGCUCUGCCUCAGCAGAGAGAAAAUUCAAACACUCAUGCAUCUUCGAGUUAUUCAGAAGUAGUAGCAGAACCAGUUGAAGCACAGAAGAAACAUAAGAUUCAAACCUUAUUCAAAAAUCUAUGCUGAAAUGGGGGGUUAUUCCUUCUGGACAAAGUACCAGAAGAAUGUUGAAGCAUACCACAACAAAGGCAGCAGCAUGAAGCCAAACAUACAUGGUCACCUUCAAAGCGGAGGAAGAAUAGCACUUAUCAUACUAUCGUAAAGAGUUAAUUAAGAUCCAUCGGCUGGGUUUGUGAGGACCUAGUGUUAGUAAAGCUAGUAUCUUGCAGGAAAUUGUGACAACAAAAGCUUCUAAUGUGGUGAAAUUAGGGAACAAGGGUUCAAGUGACAAACGUGGGAGGAGUUUCCAAAAGAGAUCUAGUUUGUCAUCAUUGCCCGAAGGAAUGCGAAGCCUAAUGUCUUUGCGAAGGCUAGAAAUUCAGACAUGUCCCAUCUUAUUGCGAAGAUGCGAGAGAGAAAUUGGUGAGGAUUGGCCCAAGAUUGCUCACAUCCCAGAGCUAUACGGGGAUCUCGCUCUGCCUCAGCAGAGAAAAAAUUCAAACACCCAUGCAUCUUCGAGUUAUUCAGUUGCAGAAGUAGUAGCAGAACCAGUUGAAGCACAGAAGAAACAUAAGAUUCAAACCUUAUUCAAAAAUCUAUGCUGAAAUGGGGGGUUAUUCCUUCUGGACAAACUACCAGAAAAAUGUUGAAGCAUACCACAACAAAGGCAGCAGCAUGAAGCCAAACAUACAUGGUCACCUUCAAAGUCGAGGAAGAAUAGCAUGUUGCUUGUUCCUUAUUUACACUUUAUUCCAAUUAAAUAUGGCAUGUAUGAAUUCUUACUUGUUUGGAGUUAGAGUAACUCAAAUAUUCGAAGGCUCAGGAUGAUGGUGAUGAGGCCAUUGUUACAAUCUUUGUAAUUUGUCCUUCGAGUUUUCUACACUAAAUCCACUCUCAACCCACUGUUUAGGUACAUAGCUCACACAAUCAAGUUUGUGCACGAGAUACACAUACAAUAAACACAACUGCUCCAAUAAUAAGAAAUACAGAGUGUGAUUGAAACAGCAAAGCAUGUGACACUAAUAAAUCACU
Molecule: non-coding RNA, 1927 nt
Organism: Corylus avellana
Lineage: Eukaryota; Viridiplantae; Streptophyta; Magnoliopsida; Fagales; Betulaceae
Source: RefSeq, a predicted model, not a curated record